Molecule: unclassified non-coding RNA, 735 nt
Filed under: Hevea brasiliensis (rubber tree)
Lineage: Eukaryota; Viridiplantae; Streptophyta; Magnoliopsida; Malpighiales; Euphorbiaceae
Source: RNAcentral
AUGCUUUAACAAACACAAAUAUGGGUGAGGUGGAGAUUGAACAGAUCAAGUCCUCGGGGAAGAGCAAGAAGGGCAAGCAGUCCAGAUCAAAGAAGCUUUUCAAGGCUUGCCUUGCAGAUUUUGUAAAGGAGGUUUUGAAGCCAUCAUGGAGACAGGGUAGCAUGAGCAAGGAAACAUUUAAGACUGUUGUGAAGAAGACCAUUGAUAAAGUGUCAGAAGCAAUGAAGAGCCACCAGAUACCCAAGUCUAAGGCAAAGAUAAAUCAGUACAUUGACUCGUCACAGCGGAAAUUAACAAAACUUGUGAUGGGUUAUGUGGAUAAAAAUGCCAAAGGGUAAAAGUUGACAUUAUGUUGAUGAUUUUGACUGGAUGUACUUCCUCAUCUUUGGGACUUCUGUGCCAUUGGAGCUGCAGAACUUGAUUGAUUUGAUUCCAAACUGCAGAGCUGUGAGGAACUGAGGAUAGAUUGAAAAAUUUUCAGUGGCAUUAGUAGAUUGCUGGUAUUUGAUGAAUCUUGUACCUCCUAGCACAAAUAUGAAAGUCCAUGACAAGAUGAAAUUUAUUGGUGGAUUAUUUCCCAACCUUAGCGAAAGUUCUGAGGGAGCUCCAAAAUGUGUAUGUAAUGUGCAUCCUUAAAUAUAAAUGUUGUGCCUUUUAUUUUGUCUGUGGCUAUUCUGUUCCUGUAGUAUUCUCAUUGUAAAUUGCCUGAUAUCUAUGGUCACAUCUCAUGACAGA